Molecule: ribosomal RNA, 88 nt
Filed under: Acanthosepion pharaonis
Lineage: Eukaryota; Metazoa; Mollusca; Cephalopoda; Sepiida; Sepiidae
Description: Sepia pharaonis 5.8S ribosomal RNA (partial)
Rfam family: 5.8S ribosomal RNA
About the family: 5.8S ribosomal RNA (5.8S rRNA) is a component of the large subunit of the eukaryotic ribosome. It is transcribed by RNA polymerase I as part of the 45S precursor that also contains 18S and 28S rRNA.
Source: RNAcentral
GGACGGGGGAUCACUCGGCUCGUCCAUCGAUGAAGAGCGCGGCCAGCCACGAGAACUGAUGCGAAUUGCAGGACUCAGUGAACAUCGA